RNAcentral lists this ribosomal RNA (464 nucleotides) under Vreelandella stevensii. RNAcentral describes it as "partial 16S ribosomal RNA". It matches the Rfam family "Bacterial small subunit ribosomal RNA", at positions 338 to 795 of the family's 1533-position model. Lineage: Bacteria; Pseudomonadati; Pseudomonadota; Gammaproteobacteria; Oceanospirillales; Halomonadaceae. The record is from RNAcentral.
CCUACGGGUGGCAGCAGUGGGGAAUAUUGGACAAUGGGCGAAAGCCUGAUCCAGCCAUGCCGCGUGUGUGAAGAAGGCCUUCGGGUUGUAAAGCACUCUCAGUGGGGAAGAAAGCCUUGGGGCUAAUACCCUCGAGGAAGGACAUCACCCACAGAAGAAGCACCGGCUAACUCCGUGCCAGCAGCCGCGGUAAUACGGAGGGUGCGAGCGUUAAUCGGAAUUACUGGGCGUAAAGCGCGCGUAGGCGGUCUGAUAAGCCGGUUGUGAAAGCCCCGGGCUCAACCUGGGAACGGCAUCCGGAACUGUCAGGCUAGAGUGCAGGAGAGGAAGGUAGAAUUCCCGGUGUAGCGGUGAAAUGCGUAGAGAUCGGGAGGAAUACCAGUGGCGAAGGCGGCCUUCUGGACUGACACUGACGCUGAGGUGCGAAAGCGUGGGUAGCAAACAGGAUUAGAUACCCUGUAGUC